GGGCCCGCACAAGCGGUGGAGCAUGUGGUUUAAUUCGAUGAUACGCGAGGAACCUUACCAGGGCUUAAAUGCAGAACGACCGGGGUGGAAACACCCCUUUCUUCGGACGGUCUGCAAGGUGCUGCAUGGUUGUCGUCAGCUCGUGCUGUGAAGUGUCGGGUUAAGUCCCAUAACGAGCGCAACCCCUAUUUUCUAGUUGCCAGCGGUUCGGCCGGGGACUCUAGAGAAACUGCCAGCGUAAGCUGUGAGGAAGUGGGGAUGACGUCAAAUCAUCACGGCCCUUACGUCCUGGGGCCACACACGUGCUACAAUGGUGGGGGACAACGAGUCGCGAACCCCGCGAGGGUAAGCU
Molecule: ribosomal RNA, 352 nt
Filed under: uncultured bacterium
Lineage: Bacteria
Description: bacterial SSU rRNA
Rfam family: Bacterial small subunit ribosomal RNA
Source: RNAcentral